Non-coding RNA from Octodon degus (degu), 406 nucleotides. NCBI's taxonomy places the organism in Eukaryota, Metazoa, Chordata, Mammalia, Rodentia, Octodontidae. The record is from the annotation of a RefSeq genome assembly.
ACACAGCAUGGACAUGAGGCUCCCUGCUCAGCUCCUGGGGUUCCUGCUCCUUUGGCUCCCAGGAGUGAGAUGUGACAUCCAGAUGACGCAGACUCCAUCCUCCCUGUCGGCAUCUCCUGGAGACUCAGUCACCAUCAGGUGCCGGGCCAGUCGGAAUAUUGGCACUGAGUUAGACUGGUAUCAGCAGAAACCAGGGCGAGCGCCGACACUCCUGAUCUACCAGGUAUCCAACUUGCAUUCCGGGGUCCCCUCGAGGUUCAGCGGCAGUGGGUCUGGGACAGACUUCAGUCUCACCAUCAACAGCCUGCAGCCUGAAGAUUUUGCCACAUAUUACUGUCAGCAAGAUUAUGGUACCCCUCCCACAGUGACACGAGCCAUGACAAAAACCAUCGAAGGAAGCAGAAGU